RNAcentral lists this small nuclear RNA (106 nucleotides) under Salvator merianae (Argentine black and white tegu). The record is from RNAcentral. Lineage: Eukaryota; Metazoa; Chordata; Lepidosauria; Squamata; Teiidae.
GUGUUCACUUCAGCAGCACAUAUACUAAAAUUGGAACAAUACAGAGAAAAUUAGCAUGGCCCUGCACAACGAUGACAUGCAAAUUUCUAAAGUGUUCCAUAAAUUU